GCGGACGUGGCGGAAUGGGUAGACGCGCUAGAUUUAGGUUCUAGUACCCUCAGGGUGUGAGAGUUCGAAUCUCUCCGUCCGCA
This 83-nucleotide transfer RNA is filed under the name Cyanobacteria bacterium QS_8_64_29. RNAcentral's name for it is "tRNA-Leu". It matches the Rfam family "tRNA". From Rfam's summary of the family: Transfer RNA (tRNA) molecules are approximately 80 nucleotides in length. The record is from RNAcentral. Lineage: Bacteria; Bacillati; Cyanobacteriota.